UAGGGAAUCUUCCACAAUGGACGCAAGUCUGAUGGAGCAACGCCGCGUGAGUGAAGAAGGGUUUCGGCUCGUAAAGCUCUGUUGUUAAAGAAGAACGUGGGUAAGUGUAACUGUUUACCCAGUGACGGUAUUUAACCAGAAAGCCACGGCUAACUACGUGCCAC
This 164-nucleotide ribosomal RNA is filed under the name uncultured bacterium. Its description in RNAcentral is "partial 16S rRNA". It matches the Rfam family "Bacterial small subunit ribosomal RNA", at positions 355 to 511 of the family's 1533-position model. The record is from RNAcentral.